RNAcentral lists this unclassified non-coding RNA (454 nucleotides) under uncultured Mortierella. RNAcentral describes it as "sequence contains ITS2". The stretch from base 1 to 154 matches the Rfam family "5.8S ribosomal RNA". Lineage: Eukaryota; Fungi; Mortierellomycota; Mortierellomycetes; Mortierellales; Mortierellaceae. The record is from RNAcentral.
AACUUUUCGAAACGGAUCACUUGGCUCUCGCAUCGAUGAAGAACGCAGCGAAAUGCGAUACGUAAUGUGAAUUGCAGAAUUCAGUGAAUCAUCGAAUCUUUGAACGCACAUUGCACUCUCUGGUAUUCCGGAGAGUAUGCUUGUUUGAGUAUCAGUAAACACCUCAAAUCUCUUUUUUAUUAAAGAGAAUUGGACUUGAGCAAUCCCAACUCUUUGCAAAAGGAGGCGGGUUGCUUGAAAUGCAGGUGCAGCUGGACAUUCUUCUGAGCUAAAAGCAUAUUUAUUUAGUCCCGUCAAACGGAUUAUUACUUUUGCUCUAGCUAAUAUAAAGGUCGAAUGUGCUAUAUGCUGACUGAUGCAGGAUUACCAAGUUUUACUAGCUAAAACUUGUAAACUCGAUCUCAAAUCAAGUAAGACUACCCGCUGAACUUAAGCAUAUCAAUAAGCGGAGGCU